GGGGCUUUGGCUUAGUGGCAUAAGCGCCUGCCUGGCAAGCUGGAGGUUAUGAGUUCGAUCCUGGUAACACACA
Molecule: transfer RNA, 73 nt
Filed under: Cavia porcellus (domestic guinea pig)
Lineage: Eukaryota; Metazoa; Chordata; Mammalia; Rodentia; Caviidae
Rfam family: tRNA
About the family: Transfer RNA (tRNA) molecules are approximately 80 nucleotides in length. Their secondary structure includes four short double-helical elements and three loops (D, anti-codon, and T loops). Further hydrogen bonds mediate the characteristic L-shaped molecular structure. tRNAs have two regions of fundamental functional importance: the anti-codon, which is responsible for specific mRNA codon recognition, and the 3' end, to which the tRNAs corresponding amino acid is attached (by aminoacyl-tRNA synthetases). tRNAs cope with the degeneracy of the genetic code in two manners: having more than one tRNA (with a specific anti-codon) for a particular amino acid; and 'wobble' base-pairing, i.e. permitting non-standard base-pairing at the 3rd anti-codon position.
Source: Rfam by way of RNAcentral